RNAcentral lists this ribosomal RNA (388 nucleotides) under uncultured bacterium. Its description in RNAcentral is "bacterial SSU rRNA". It matches the Rfam family "Bacterial small subunit ribosomal RNA", at positions 28 to 417 of the family's 1533-position model. The record is from RNAcentral.
GACGAACGCUGGCGGCGUGCUUAACACAUGCAAGUCGAGCGGUAAGGCCCUUUCGGGGGUACACGAGCGGCGAACGGGUGAGUAACACGUGGGUGACCUGCCCUCAGCUCUGGGAUAAGCCUGGGAAACCGGGUCUAAUACUGGAUAUGACUCCAUGACGCAUGUUGUGGGGUGGAAAGCCUUGUGCGGCUGAGGAUGGGCCCGCGGCCUAUCAGCUUGUUGGUGGGGUGAUGGCCUACCAAGGCGACGACGGGUAGUCGGCCUGAGAGGGCGACCGGCCACACUGGGACUGAGACACGGCCCAGACUCCUACGGGAGGCAGCAGUGGGGAAUCUUGCGCAAUGGGCGAAAGCCUGACGCAGCGACGCCGCGUGAGGGAUGACGGCCU